This 253-nucleotide ribosomal RNA is filed under the name uncultured bacterium. Its description in RNAcentral is "partial 16S ribosomal RNA". It matches the Rfam family "Bacterial small subunit ribosomal RNA", at positions 524 to 776 of the family's 1533-position model. The record is from RNAcentral.
UACGGGGGGGGCAAGCGUUGUUCGGAAUUACUGGGCGUAAAGGGGACGUAGGCGGCCAACUAAGUCCGACGUGAAAUCCCAAGGCUUAACCUUGGAACUGCGUCGGAUACUGGAUAGCUUGAAUUCGGGAGAGGGAUGCAGAAUUCCAGGUGUAGCGGUGAAAUGCGUAGAUAUCUGGAGGAAUACCGGUGGCGAAGGCGGCAUCCUGGACCGACAUUGACGCUGAAAGCCGAAAGCUAGGGGAGCAAACGGG